GGUGGCUCAGUGGUAGAGCACUUGCCUUGCAUGCAUGAGGUCCUGGGUUCGAUCCUCAGCACCA
This 64-nucleotide transfer RNA is filed under the name Dipodomys ordii (Ord's kangaroo rat). It matches the Rfam family "tRNA". From Rfam's summary of the family: Transfer RNA (tRNA) molecules are approximately 80 nucleotides in length. Lineage: Eukaryota; Metazoa; Chordata; Mammalia; Rodentia; Heteromyidae. The record is from Rfam by way of RNAcentral.